GCAAGGGAGGGAGAGAGUGGGCAAGGGCUGGGGCAGGAUCCGCGUGGCGCGCUAAUGGGAAUCUGCGGGGUGCCGCAUUCUUGCACCCCGGAGCCUGGCUCGUGUGGCCCCCAGUCCGAGUCUCAGACCCCAUAUAACCCAUUUAGAACAAUCCGGAGGGGGAAGGUGCACAGCGACCUGUUUAUCGAUUCCCUUGGAUCCCUUUCGCCUGGGUCCCUGCGCAGCAGUUUGGUUGCUGGGGCACUUGGAAAAGGACCGAUCCAAAAAUCAGGGCUGGGCAAGAAACGCGGAGCCCCUCUUUCUCCACCCGAAAAAGGACUCUAGGGAGGCAAGAGGCUCCCCUGUACAUCCUCCCAAGGCAGCACCGCGGAGUCCCGGAGGUCCGAGGAGGGGUCUCCGGGGCAGGGACUGCCGAGCAAGUCAGGGACUCAUUUCCCAGUGGCCGCUGCAGAGAGGCGCAUCCCUGGCCCAAUUGGAAGGGGUUGGGGUGUGCCCAGCAGGGUCCCUGCAAGUGCAGCUCAGGUUCUUGGCUGAUCUGCGGGCAGGAGAGGGGCUGGGUUCCAUCUUCAGACCCUCAGCUCACUGAAACUCAGGUUUUUAAUCUAGCGAAAUUUCAAACAAAAACACUCUGGGAACCUCAGGAGCAGCGGUGGCACCCAAGAGCCCGUGCGUGUUCCGGUGUGUAUGCGCGAAGCUCUGUGCGCCUUGCCCGCGUCACCCGAGGCUGGAGGGUGUAGCCCUGUGGCGCAGGAGUCUGGUGCCCAUUGCUUUGGUGAUCUGGCUUGAACUCCGGAAUCCUCUUGUUUCUCUGCAGGGUGUGUUCAUCCCGAGUGCCAACAUGUUGUCUCUGGGUUCUUUUUACUUUCCUCGAAUCAUUAGACAUUCGAAUUGUGAAAAGUCCUCCCACCAGGAGGCUGCUUGUGAGGUGAUGUAGCCUACAGGCCCCGAUAGAGAUGGUGCCAGGCCAUUUGGACUUUCAGCUUCUCAAACUGAGCCAAAUAAACCUCUUUUCUUCACAAGUCUCCAA
Molecule: long non-coding RNA, 1027 nt
Organism: Cavia porcellus (domestic guinea pig)
Lineage: Eukaryota; Metazoa; Chordata; Mammalia; Rodentia; Caviidae
Exons: 2
Source: RefSeq, a predicted model, not a curated record